CCAGAUCUAAGAGAUUGGACAAUCAGCAGAUCAUUUAUGUCAUCAGGGUUUCCAACAUCCCAUGGAAAAUUAUUAAAUAUAUCCCCACAAAAACGUCUGAUACAAAGUCUUUUUUUUUUUUUUUUUUGCAUCUUACUCUUACAAUUAAGUUAUAAUAAUAACUAUCCAGUUAACUUUAAAUAAUAUAGUAAAUAAUUUGACGAUAAAUAAAUUGAUUUGAUAAGUCAUGAGGCCUCCUAUCAUUUUGGUGUUUUUGUGGAACCCAAUUUCCGUAACUGACAAAAACCCUUAACAUGAUAGGAAUGUGCAAAGACAACUUGGUGGCCUUAUCCAAUCUUUGAGAAGCAUGAUUGAUUUUGGGAGCUUUGAAUGAUUUUUUAUUUUUUUUUUGUAUUAUCAUAUUUUCCCAAAUUUUCCGUGAUUUCGUUUUGUAUAUAUUUAAUGUAUUUAUAUUUUCUAGAAAAUAAAUAAUGACUCAUUGAUCAAUACACAUAUUAAUCUUCUAAUUUCUGUGGGUUUUGGCAAAUAGGUGGCUCAUGCAUUUUUUUUUCUUAGUAUUUGUUCUUCUGAGCUUGUUUAAGGGAGCAUUAAGCUAAAGUGCCCAUUUUACUUCUAUACAUUGCUUUCAUUUCAAUUUUAUAUAUAAAAUUUGAUUAAAGUUAAUGUGCAAGCCAAAUAAGCUUUGAAACAUUAGAAUUGAAGUUUAAAAAUUAUGAAUUCAAAAAAAUUUAAAUGUGUAAUUUUUUUUCUAGCAAAUGAAUAUAAAAAUAGAAGUUUAAG
Molecule: long non-coding RNA, 780 nt
Filed under: Durio zibethinus
Lineage: Eukaryota; Viridiplantae; Streptophyta; Magnoliopsida; Malvales; Malvaceae
Description: long non-coding RNA (DZIB_LNC002307)
Source: RNAcentral